GGACGGGUGAGUAACGCGUAAAUAACUUGCCCCCUAGUCUGGGACAACUGUUGGAAACGACAGCUAAUACUAGAUAUUAUGAGACCUUGGCAUCAAGGACUUAUGAAAGCUAUAUGCGCUAGGGGAGAGAUUUGCGUCCUAUUAGCUAGUUGGUGAGGUAAUGGCUCACCAAGGCGACGAUAGGUAGCCGGCCUGAGAGGGUGAACGGCCACAAGGGGACUGAGACACGGCCCUUACUCCUACGGGAGGCAGCAGUGGGGAAUAUUGGACAAUGGACCAAAAGUCUGAUCCAGCAAUUCUGUGUGCUUGAUGAAGGCCUUCGGGUUGUAAAGAGCUUUAAGUAGGGAAGAAGAAAGUGACGGUACCUACAGAAUAAGCGACGGCUAAAUACGUGCCAGCAGCCGCGGUAAUACGUAUGUCGCAAGCGUUAUCCGGAAUUAUUGGGCAUAAAGGGCGUCUAGGCGGUUUAGAAAGUCUGAUGUGAAAAUGCGGGGCUCAACCCCGUAUUGCGUUGGAAACUACUAGACUAGAGUAUUGGAGAGGUAAGCGGGACUACAAGUGUAGAGGUGAAAUUCGUAGAUAUUUGUAAGAAUGCCAAUUGGGAAGCCAGCUUACUGGACAAAUACUGACGCUGAAGCGCGA
This 642-nucleotide ribosomal RNA is filed under the name uncultured bacterium. Its description in RNAcentral is "bacterial SSU rRNA". It matches the Rfam family "Bacterial small subunit ribosomal RNA", at positions 100 to 756 of the family's 1533-position model. The record is from RNAcentral.